UGGGGAAUAUUGCACAAUGGGCGCAAGCCUGAUGCAGCCAUGCCGCGUGUGUGAAGAAGGCCUUCGGGUUGUAAAGCACUUUCAGCGGGGAGGAAGGCGAUAAGGUUAAUAACCUUGUCGAUUGACGUUACCCGCAGAAGAAGCACCGGCUAACCCCGUGCCAGCAGCCGCGGUAAUACGGAGGGUGCAAGCGUUAAUCGGAAUUACUGGGCGUAAAGCGCACGCAGGCGGUCUGUCAAGUCGGAUGUGAAAUCCCCGGGCUCAACCUGGGAACUGCAUUCGAAACUGGCAGGCUAGAGUCUUGUAGAGGGGGGUAGAAUUCCAGGUGUAGCGGUGAAAUGCGUAGAGAUCUGGAGGAAUACCGGUGGCGAAGGCGGCCCCCUGGACAAAGACUGACGCUCAGGUGCGAAAGCGUGGGGAGCAAACAGG
This 429-nucleotide ribosomal RNA is filed under the name Chloroflexota bacterium. RNAcentral's name for it is "Chloroflexi bacterium partial 16S ribosomal RNA". It matches the Rfam family "Bacterial small subunit ribosomal RNA", at positions 355 to 776 of the family's 1533-position model. Lineage: Bacteria; Bacillati; Chloroflexota. The record is from RNAcentral.